AGAACAGAAGACAAAACUAGUGGCUUCCUCAAACUUAAAAUUAGAAUAAUUAAUACUAAUAGCAUACCUUUGUAGAGGUUAAAAGACUUUCAAAUACAUAAAUGGCAGUAAUAGUGCCUUUGCUAAUACAAUUCUUACCAAAUGAAGGACUCAGGUUGACAUAUCUAGGAUUUGGUAAUUUCUUAACUGAAGGAAAUGAUUUUGAAAAUACUUUGUUGGUAUAGCUUGUUCCUCAUUUUUUUCAAACUGAGGUUAGAAGAGCGACGGCAGUUAGGCUUUUCCGUUACCAACCUCAACUCAGCAGAGAGAGAGAGAGAGAGAGAGAGACAGAGAGACAGAGAUGCAGAGAGAGAGAGAGAGGGAGAGGCAGAGAGAGAGAGAGAGAGAGAGAGAGAGAGAAGGAGAGAGAGGCAGAACCAGCCAGAGUGAGAGGGGAAUAGUUCAAACAGGGCAUCAGUAUGACCUGCGGCACUAUACCACAGUGAGACACUGACACAAGGCUCCGUGCUGCUGUAUAAACUGGAUCUACAGCGUUUCGGUUCUCAACCCAGUGGAGGGGGAAGCAGUCACCCGGUCUUCCAGAUGGAGUGGGGUGGGAACCUUCGCCCUACGAAGACACGCUCGGGCCCCCCAGCACUGCCCGCCAAGCAGCGCAGGAGCAUGUACUCCGAGGGUUCCAACGUGGACAUGGACUGGGGGAUGGUGGGGCUGCCCAGCCUGGCCGGCCUCCAGCUGCUGGACCAGCCGGACCCAGACGUGUUCCUGGAGGGGGUCUGCUGCCAGGAGGCCCAGUGUCCCCUACACAAGGGCUCCGUCUCAUCCUGCUGUCAUGAGGACGAGGUUUUCUCAGAGGGCCUUCCCCCACCUGUCCCCCGUAAGAAGCUGGUGCGCGCCAUGUCGAUGCCCGAGGGGUGCACCCCGCCUACUGCCCCACAACGGCCACCUAGGCCCCCCGUGUCGGGACUGAAUAAACAGGUCACCGACCCACAAUGCUUCGACAACCCGCUCUACAUGUUGUCGCCACUGGAGGGCGCCAUUUCCCCGGAGCGCAGUGAAGCGCAGACAGCAGCCACAGCGAAUCCGCUUCUAUCGUCCGACCCCAGCAGUGACACCACGCCCCUCUCCAAACUGUCGUUUGACACACCGGACGAGCAGGUGCUGCCGUACCUGUCGAGCGAGGCCGCGGGGGUUAUCAUCGCGCAGAGACAUCUGUUGUUCCUCCGGAAAGCUGCGGACGCAUUGGAAUCCGACCUUUUGAUGCUAGGGGAGGCUGGCGGGUUGUCAUACUCACCGGAGAACUUCCAGCUGUGUGACGGAUAUGAGCCCAGGCAGAUAGGAGAUGACGUCUACAUCAAACUGCACUGCAACAAGCUUCCAAACAAAGUACUGGGUGCAAGGGUGUACAAUCCAGAUAACCAUUCGGCCCACUCCGUCCCCCAGUCGCCGCACGUCAACCUGCGACAAGUCCUCAUUAAUUUCUCACCUAGCAGAACACAAGAGACAGCAGCACAGCCAGACUGCACACCUCCAAUGCGGCCACUGGGUGGCAUUAGUGAGUUUGUUGACAGCCAACUGGUUUCCCCCAUAAAUAACUCUCCGACUAUUAUAGAGUUAUUGGAGAGGGGACAUGCUGUGAGUGUUGAAAGAGAUUUUCCUCAAGCCACACUAGGGGACUUCUUUCAGGGCCGCUGUGCCAAUCAAACCUCUGAUCCCGCGCUAUAUGCGAAACAGCUGUGUCUCCUGUUGCUGCAGGUGGCCACAGGCCUACAGCCGCUGUGCAGUAACGGAGCAAUGUACACAGAGUUAAGACCGUCCAAUGUUUUCCUUGUGUGGCCCAGUAGGGCGCCAGCCGCGUCCGACAGAGCAGAAAGUAGAAUGGACAAAGAACGAGCCGCGGUUCAGACGCACUGGGAGAGAAUAGGAGCGCCUCGCGUGGUUCUCAACAACACACCCUAUAGGGCCUCUUCCAAACAUCACACCGUGUCCUCCACCAACGCCCAGAUCGGAGGGCUGAUUCUCCAAGGCCUCUCCUCUGUCAAACGGGGCUCGCUUCCAAAAUCCACCAGCGAUCCUUACACUGAGAGACUGCUGGAUCUGGCGGGAUGGCUUCAGGACGAGAGCGCCGCGCUGCCGCUGUCACACACGAAGACCAUCCUCCAAGCCCUCCUCUGGGGGCCCCGGGCCCAGCUCUUCACCUUCCACAUCGGCUCGGCCACGUCCACCAUGAACUCCUGGCUGACCAUCAGCCGCAGCUUGCUGGUGCUGAAGAUGGCCGAGAGGGGCCUUCUCCAGGCCGGGCCGCCCAUGGACUGGGAGGCGUGCCUCCGCCUCAGGUACUUUGCGUCCUGUGACGCCGAGGAGUUGAGCAGGGCCUCCGAGCGCCUAGCGCUCCUCCGAAAGCUAUGA
Molecule: long non-coding RNA, 2406 nt
Filed under: Gadus morhua (Atlantic cod)
Lineage: Eukaryota; Metazoa; Chordata; Actinopteri; Gadiformes; Gadidae
Description: lncRNA (ENSGMOG00000029233.1)
Source: RNAcentral